UUUAAAUGAUGAUCUCAAUCUUUGGUCCGUGUUUAUGAGGUGGAUUCAAGACCCACCGCAUGAGUGACAAAGAAGAUUUAAAUCUUUUAUCUGAUUCC
Small nucleolar RNA from Candida tropicalis MYA-3404, 98 nucleotides. It matches the Rfam family "Small nucleolar RNA SNORD18". From Rfam's summary of the family: U18 is a member of the C/D class of snoRNA which contain the C (UGAUGA) and D (CUGA) box motifs. It is encoded in introns of ribosomal protein L1 in Xenopus and human, and in introns of elongation factor 1 beta in yeast. NCBI's taxonomy places the organism in Eukaryota, Fungi, Ascomycota, Pichiomycetes, Serinales, Debaryomycetaceae. The record is from Rfam.